GACGUAGGGCGCGAGCGUUGUCCGGAUUUAUUGGGCGUAAAGAGCUCGUAGGCGGCUUGUCGCGUCGUCCGUGAAAACCCACAGCUCAACUGUGGGCUUGCGGUCGAUACGGGCAGGUUAGAGUUCGGUAGGGGAGACUGGAAUUCCUGGUGUAGCGGUGAAAUGCGCGGAUAUCAGGAGGAACACCGGUGGCGAAGGCGGGUCUCUGGGCCGAUACUGACGCUGAGGAGCGAAAGCGUGGGGAGCGAACAGG
This 253-nucleotide ribosomal RNA is filed under the name uncultured bacterium. Its description in RNAcentral is "partial 16S ribosomal RNA". It matches the Rfam family "Bacterial small subunit ribosomal RNA", at positions 524 to 776 of the family's 1533-position model. The record is from RNAcentral.